AGAGUUUGAUCAUGGCUCAGGAUGAACGCUGGCGGCGUGCUAAUACAUGCAAGUCGAACGAAGAGUAUCUUGUGUUCGCAUAGGUUACUCUUAGUGGCGAACGGGUGAGUAACGCGUUGGUGACCUGCCCCGAAGUGAGGGAUAACCCCGGGAAACUGGGGCUAAUACCCCAUAUGGUCACAGGGAUUAGAUGCCUUGUGUCUAAAGGAUUUAUUCGCUUCGGGAGGGGCCUGCGUCCCAUCAGCUUGUUGGUAGGGUAAUGGCCUACCAAGGCUUCGACGGGUAGGGGACCUGAGAGGGUGACCCCCCACACUGGCACUGAAACACGGGCCAGACACCUACGGGUGGCAGCAGUAGGGAAUAUUGGGCAAUGGGCGAAAGCCUGACCCAGCAACGCCGCGUGCGCGAUGAAGGCCUUCGGGUUGUAAAGCGCUUUUCUGAGGGAAGAGCAAGGACGGUACCUCAGGAAUAAGGUUCGGCUAACUACGUGCCAGCAGCCGCGGUAACACGUAGGAACCGAGCGUUAUCCGAAUUUACUGGGCGUAAAGCGCGUGUAGGUGGUUCGAUAAGUUGGGUGUGAAAGCUCCUGGCUCAACUAGGAGAGGCCGCUCAAUACUGUCGGGCUAGAGAACGGUAGAGGGAGGUGGAAUUCCCGGUGUAGUGGUGAAAUGCGUAGAUAUCGGGAGGAACACCAGUGGCGAAGGCGGCCUCCUGGACCGUUUCUGACACUGAGACGCGAAAGCUAGGGGAGCGAACGGGAUUAGAUACCCUAGUAGUCC
This 779-nucleotide ribosomal RNA is filed under the name uncultured bacterium. RNAcentral describes it as "bacterial SSU rRNA". It matches the Rfam family "Bacterial small subunit ribosomal RNA", at positions 8 to 796 of the family's 1533-position model. The record is from RNAcentral.